Molecule: long non-coding RNA, 3765 nt
Organism: Corvus hawaiiensis (hawaiian crow)
Lineage: Eukaryota; Metazoa; Chordata; Aves; Passeriformes; Corvidae
Exons: 3
Source: RefSeq, a predicted model, not a curated record
GCUGCGGCGCUCCGCCGCCUGCCCCGCUUUGUCUGCGCUGCCGCCCGCCCGGCGCCGCGCUGCGCUCUUUUUGCGCAGAGGUGCACAGGGCUUUGUGUGCGAAGCUGAGCCCGGCCAGGGACGCGGGAGUGCUCGCCGUGCGCGGCUUCGGGCUCUCGUGUGAGAAGGAGCUGGAGAUGUUGGAAUCACACCAUGCCAAGCAGAUGGGAACUUAGAAACCAGGCAUGAUCCCUUGGGUCAGAAUAUCCGACAUCCUGCUGGGGAACCAGGUCACUGCUCUGCUGGAAGAAAGGAAAGAUUUGAACCAUGAUGGAGCAGAACAUCACUGAAAGCAAAUCUCUACCACCAAGUAUGUAAUCUCUGACAAACUGAUGCCAUGCCAUGAAGAUCAUGUCUUGGCAGACAGUGUCCAGCCCCAGCUGAUUCUUUUGCCUGGGACAGAGGGAGGCAGGGACAACAGCUAAAGUGUACCUGCUUUAUUGCAAAAAACAUGGUAAAAUUUCAAAGGUGUUCUUAGUUGGAAAAUAAUAUUUUUUACUUAAAAUAUUAUGAUUAGAUCUUAUUUAAUUUUACCCCACUGAUAACAGUUGGUUGUACAAUUAAUAGACCACAUUAAUAGGCGUGAUCAACUGCUAGUGUCUGAGCUUAUUUCACAUAGUUUAUGCAAAACUUUGAACACAUAUCCUUCAACUACACAGCCUGUACUCCCAGCAGUCAUAUAUGUCUGUAGCACCUUAUUGGAAACAACAAACCUUGACUUUUUUUAGAACUGUAAGAUCAAAAAUUUAGGUGGGUUUUUUUUCUAUUUGAAUUUGGAUUGUUGCCAUUAGGUAUCCAGUAUUUCUGGAUUUGAGUUUGUUACAGUGAUGGUACAUUGCAGCUUUGUGCUGCUAAAUGUCAUCUCCAUCUUUUCAGAACAGGUUGCUGCACUUGAGGAACAGAACUAUUUUAUUUAGAAGUGACUAAUCCAGAAAAAUUUCACCUGUUAGAAUCUCUUCACCUACUUUUAAUUUCCAAAACUAUCUAAUUUGGAGCUGAAAUUUCCCAGGCUGGAAGCCCUGAGGGGAAAAAUAAAAAGAGAUUCAGUCCAGGAAGGGAAUGCAUUUUUGUAGUUUUAAGAGGCUCAACAGAGUAAUACUUUUUUAUGCUGCUCUUGUAAAGUGAUUUGUUUUGGAACUACUCAGUACAUAGUGUUACUAACUUAGAUUUCUCUCUAAUGAACAAUGGUGCUGAAUCCUGUCACUGUCAUGAGUUUUGCCUCCUCCUCAAGCUUUUUACAGUCUCCAGGAAGGCUAGAGGUGACAUGCUGGGAAGACAACCUCACAGUUCAGCAAAUUCACGUCAGCAAGUGCUGCAAGGUGCUGUGGCAGAAGUCAGUGUUCUGCAGGUGAAGGUGUCCUGGAGAAGUCGCCCACCAGAGCUGGAUUUAAAAGAGGACUGAUUAUUUUAGGACCUCUAAGAAAACAGGUGGUUAUGUAAGGUCAAAUCUCAGCAAGUGUAAUCAAAUCCCAGUUCUAAGCUGAUCAUCAGGCAGGGUGUUGGAGGUAUUUAUUCAAGCACUCCCUCCCUGUGUUGUGACUUUCCUCUGAAACAGCCAGAGCUGAAGCUGGGACUAAAUUAGGAGAGCUGUGGAAUCCUCUCCUCCUCUGCUGACCUUGGGAAAUCUCCCUUGCCAGCUGCACCCUGACAUUCCUGUGCUAAACACUACUCUCAACAGGGAACUUGCUUUUAUACUGGAAUUUAUGGCUUCUUGUCAGGUUGUGUCCAGCCUCUGACUAGCUCUUAGGUGCCUUAUGUACCUUGGUGCUUUGCCUGUAGCUCAGGGCAUGCUGCUUGCAUGCCUCUCUCUAUAUAACCUCCCUCUGACCCCAUGAGACAGUAACUAGCAGCCUCUCUGUGCCAACGUUUUUCCUUUAUUGCACUUGUGCUGCUCACAUGUUAUUGCUCUCACAGCCCUGCCUCCGUAAACCCCCACAGCGUUAUUAUGGUAGAUUCUCGUGGAAGAACUGGUGUGAGAAUUGCUGUUCCUCCCACUCCUUCUAUUUCUCUUGUAUUGUAGACUUCAGUGUAUAAAGGAGAAAAACAAAUGUGGUGUUCAACAAAAGCACCAAUGGCUAUUUAAAUUCUCGGUAAAUAUUAUCCAAUGUCAUAUAUUCACGGAAGCUGAACAAGCAAUGAAUGUGCAGCAUUUGCACAUGAUGAGUGUUCUCCUCUCAGAUCUAAUAGAAACAUACCCAGAAAUAACCCAUAGGAGUUUAAGUGGGUCUUGAUGAAAAGUAUAUCAUGCUAAGGGAAAGCAAGGCAAGAAAUCAUCAUACUGGUCAUUUUCACUGUCAUCACCUGCACCACUGGAGAGAGUCCUCAGAGGAGGAUGCUCCUAUGGGACCCCAUCACUGCCCUUGACAUCUGGCCAGUGGAAAAAAAUUCCCCUUUUUCUCUCUCUCCUUUUCCUUUAUUUUCUUUUUCUUUCUAGAAAUAAUUUUCAGCAUUACAGUCAAAGUAUGCCAACAGCUGUCAUUGUGCCACAAAUAAAUCUUCAUGUAUACAAAACUGUCAGAACAUCCUUUGUGCAACAUGUGCAUGCCCCACAUGCAAUGAUGAUUACUAAACAAUUCACUUAGUCUAUGGUGUGUUUAUGAUGCCUGACUGGACCAGAAAGCAAGUUGCAGUUCCAGGUUCUUGGCACAGAAAUAUCCUUAGCAGCCUCCCAGUAAGAAGCUUCAAUGCACUUUGUAGAGGUGUGUACCUUCAGUGGGAAACAAGAGUGUAGAGGAUCUAGAUUAAAAAAAAAAGGUUGGAAUCUGACAGUGAAAGGCCAUUAAAAACAAAAACAAACAAACAAACAUUACAGCAUUAAGCUCUACACUUGUGCAAGAUCCUGAGGGGAAAACAGAAGACUUAGCACUAGCAGUACACCUAAGCAAUAAAAGGAGAAAAUAAAAUUUAAAAAAAAAAAUUGAUUCAGAUUUUCAUCCCCUGGCUUUUCUGCUUCCACAGUUAUUUCCACCAGGGAUCUGCUAUCACAUGGCAGCUAGAGCAUUUAGCAUCGAUGUGUCUGGGAGCUGAGCAGCAACCCAAGAGACAAGAUAAUGGAGCAGGAAGAGCUGCCUCCUCUGCCCAUUAGUCAAAUGUUCCCAAGGAGAGUGUGAGAUGCUCCCCAGAAGCAAUCAUUUCUUUCUGAAAGCCUCAACUGUUACAUGAAAAAAAUCAUAAUAAUGGUGGCAAAGAGCUGAUCUGAAUGAGAUUGCACAGCGGUGCUUUUAUGUGGUAGGAGGAGGAAAGAAGAAUAUGUCUGUUGCAUGGUGUGAAAGACAUGGGAAGGUAUGUGCCCCCCUAAGAAGAAGAAAGAAACAUUUUACCAAAGUGUUUAGAAGAGCCUUCCAUUCUUGGGCUGCUGGUUGCCACGGAGAAAGAAUCGAUCAUUUAAAAAAAAAAAAAAAAAAAAAAAGAUGAUAAAAGGAGCUGUCAGGAAAGAAGACAUCUGGAGCUGACUUGUGUACAGUUUCUUCUUCUUAGCCCAGUGACACUGAAUCAUUUGCUUCACUGUUUUAAACUGAAUAAAACUCUGGGACUAUCUGAUUCCUAUUUAAAUAAAAACACACUCUUUUUUUUUUUAGCAAGGCAGUAUUACUUCUCUGUUUAGUUCAAUGCAUGAUCAUUUUAGAGAGCACUAGCGUGUCAUUUAAUCACUGUUCACAGGCACAUGGCAUGUAGUUCAUACAGAAGGAAUCAAUUAUGAGAAAAGAAAAAUCUGAAUAAGACCCU